This 253-nucleotide ribosomal RNA is filed under the name uncultured bacterium. RNAcentral's name for it is "partial 16S ribosomal RNA". It matches the Rfam family "Bacterial small subunit ribosomal RNA", at positions 524 to 776 of the family's 1533-position model. The record is from RNAcentral.
UACGUAGGGUGCAGGCGUUAAUCGGAAUUACUGGGCGUAAAGCGUGCGCAGGCGGUUUGCUAAGAGAGAUGUGAAAUCCCCGGGCUCAACCCGGGAACUGCGUCCGAUACUGGCAGGCUUGAAUCCGGGAGAGGGAUGCGGAAUUCCAGGUGUAGCGGUGAAAUGCGUAGAUAUCUGGAGGAACACCGGUGGCGAAGGCGGCAUCCUGGACCGGUAUUGACGCUGAGGCGCGAAAGCUAGGGGAGCAAACGGG